Molecule: ribosomal RNA, 773 nt
Filed under: uncultured Neocallimastigales
Lineage: Eukaryota; Fungi; Neocallimastigomycota; Neocallimastigomycetes; Neocallimastigales
Description: partial large subunit ribosomal RNA
Rfam family: Eukaryotic large subunit ribosomal RNA
Source: RNAcentral
AUGUGAUCGUCUCUCGCAUAUCAAUAAGCGGAGGAAAAGAAACUAACAAGGAUUCCCCUAGUAACGGCGAGUGAAGCGGGAAGAGCUCAAAUUUGAAAUCUUAAAGGGUUUCCCUUUACGAAUUGUAGUUUAAAGAAGUGUUUUCUGUUGAGGUUUUGGUAAAAGUUCUUUGGAAUAGGACAUCAUAGAGGGUGAGAAUCCCGUAUUUGACCUUUACUUUCAACUUUGUGAUACACUUUCAAAGAGUCGGAUUGUUUGGGAAUGCAGUCCAAAAUGGGUGGUAAAUUUCAUCUAAAGCUAAAUAUUGGCGAGAGACCGAUAGCGAACAAGUACCGUGAGGGAAAGAUGAAAAGAACUUUGAAAAGAGAGUUAAACAGUACGUGAAAUUGUCAAAAGGGAAGCGUUUGACACCAGUGUUGUUUUUCUGAAAAUCAAUUAAAGAACUGUUUAUGCUAAGCUGUUUAGACUUUAUCAGCUAUCUGUUUAGUUUUGAGCUUUUCUUUAAUGCACUUUUCAGUUAACAAGUCAACAUCAAUUUCUUUUGCUGUAAAAAAGCUUGAGGAAGGUGGCUUGAGAUUCGUCUUAAGUGUUUAUAGCCUCUUGCCUAUGCAGUCGGAGAGAUUGAGGUCUGCAGCGUAGAUCCUUCGGGGCUAAAUGCAUUUGUGCUAAGUUAUAACAUUUUAUAGACAACUUGUUGACUAUGAUUUGUCUUGUAGCUUACUCGCUUAUGUUAUUUUACCUACGCUUAGGAUGUUGAGUAGCGACAUACGCAC